RNAcentral lists this long non-coding RNA (651 nucleotides) under Takifugu rubripes (torafugu). RNAcentral describes it as "lncRNA (ENSTRUG00000030529.1)". The record is from RNAcentral. Lineage: Eukaryota; Metazoa; Chordata; Actinopteri; Tetraodontiformes; Tetraodontidae.
AAACAAACAAGCCAAAAUGAGCGAGAAUACUGAAGACAGAAUGGCACAAGAGGAAAUGCUCGACAAAAUAGCUAAGCUGCAUCAUGACAGCAUCCACCUGAAGGACCUGAACGCAUCGUUGAUGGAGUGGCUGGAUGCUGCAGAGACUGAGAACGUCUCGCUUUGCUCAGACAACAAGUCCCUGAGGAAAAAAGCCAACAUGCUGGAGAAGAUGGUCUCAGAGGCACAACAGGACAGAGGAGAGCCUUGUCCACCUUCUCUGGCUGAUGAAAAGAGAAAAAAUGUGCAAAAAAUUCAGCUAAUGGAGGAACAAUUAACCCUACAGAGGGAGGACAACCAGCAGCUUAUUUCCGAGCUGAAAGACCUCCAGCAGCAGAGGGACGAGGACAAGAAGACCCUGAGCAAGAUCAGCCAAGCACAUCAGAUCCUCCAGAGGGACCUUGAAGCGGCUCAUUUGGAGCUGCAGCAGAACGAUAUGUCUAUCCAAGAGAAAAAGCAGCUGUUGAGGAAUGCGGAGAAGGACUUAGAGGAGUUUUUUAACACCAUAGAGGACCUCAGGAGGACAAAUCAAGAACUGAAAUUUCAGCUGCAAGAAAGACAAGAUGAGUCCUCGUUGUAAGUGUGAAGUUCCUUGUAAAGGAAAGUCAAUAG